This 1340-nucleotide ribosomal RNA is filed under the name uncultured bacterium. RNAcentral's name for it is "bacterial SSU rRNA". It matches the Rfam family "Bacterial small subunit ribosomal RNA", at positions 41 to 1384 of the family's 1533-position model. The record is from RNAcentral.
GGCGUGCUUAACACAUGCAAGUCGAACGGGAAUUACUUUAUUGAAACUUCGGUCGAUUUAAUUUAAUUCUAGUGGCGGACGGGUGAGUAACGCGUGGGUAACCUGCCUUGUACAGGGGGAUAACAGUCAGAAAUGACUGCUAAUACCGCAUAAGCGCACAGAGCUGCAUGGCUCAGUGUGAAAAACUCCGGUGGUAUAAGAUGGACCCGCGUUGGAUUAGCUAGUUGGUGGGGGUAACGGCCCACCAAGGCGACGAUCCAUAGCCGGCCUGAGAGGGUGAACGGCCACAUUGGGACUGAGACACGGCCCAGACUCCUACGGGAGGCAGCAGUGGGGAAUAUUGCACAAUGGGGGAAACCCUGAUGCAGCGACGCCGCGUGAAGGAAGAAGUAUCUCGGUAUGUAAACUUCUAUCAGCAGGGAAGAAAAUGACGGUACCUGACUAAGAAGCCCCCGCUAACUACGUGCCAGCAGCCGCGGUAAUACGUAGGGGGCAAGCGUUAUCCGGAUUUACUGGGUGUAAAGGGAGCGUAGACGGAUGGACAAGUCUGAUGUGAAAGGCUGGGGCUCAACCCCGGGACUGCAUUGGAAACUGCCCGUCUUGAGUGCCGGAGAGGUAAGCGGAAUUCCUAGUGUAGCGGUGAAAUGCGUAGAUAUUAGGAGGAACACCAGUGGCGAAGGCGGCUUACUGGACGGUAACUGACGUUGAGGCUCGAAAGCGUGGGGAGCAAACAGAAGUAGAUACCCUGGUAGUCCACGCGGUAAACGACAAUAAGAGGUUCGGGGGCAAAGUCAUUCGGUGCCCCCGCAGACGCAUUAAGCAUUCCACCCUGGGGAGUACGUUUGCAGGAAAGAAACUCAAAGGAAUUGACGGGGACCCGCACAAGCGGUGGAGCAUGUGGUUUAAUUGAAAGCAACGCGAAGAACCUUACCAAGUCUUGACAUCCCCCUGACCGGAACUUAACCGUUCCUUUCCUUCGGGACAGGGGAGACAGGUGGUGCAUGGUUGUCGUCAGCUCGUGUCGUGAGAUGUUGGGUUAAGUCCCGCAACGAGCGCAACCCCUAUCCUCAGUAGCCAGCAUAUAAGGUGGGCACUCUGGGGAGACUGCCAGGGAUAACCUGGAGGAAGGCGGGGAUGACGUCAAAUCAUCAUGCCCCUUAUGAUUUGGGCUACACACGUGCUACAAUGGCGUAAACAAAGGGAAGCGAACCUGCGAGGGUGGGCAAAUCCCAAAAAUAACGUCCCAGUUCGGACUGUAGUCUGCAACCCGACUACACGAAGCUGGAAUCGCUAGUAAUCGCGGAUCAGAAUGCCGCGGUGAAUACGUUCCCGGGUCUCGC